RNAcentral lists this long non-coding RNA (1345 nucleotides) under Nicotiana benthamiana. RNAcentral's name for it is "long non-coding RNA (NBEN_LNC035025)". Lineage: Eukaryota; Viridiplantae; Streptophyta; Magnoliopsida; Solanales; Solanaceae. The record is from RNAcentral.
UUGGCUUGUGUUAUUUUUCAGGUUGAUAGAUGUGGCAGUUGGCGAUGAGCGUGAGGCGUACGAGUCCCUGCUUGGUACUUGCAAAUGCCGGUGGAAGUUGGAAGGAAGUACGUUAGUGUCUGUAACCUCGGGUGUGUACUGAGUAAAAUUUUCAGGUUCUACUUUCGCGAGUUGGUGUCACACCUCCUUUUUACCGCCCCGGGAGGGAGUAUGAGAGUUUUUCAAAUUAAAGUGACAUUAUUCUAAAUCGAGGAUUUUUUUUUAAAAGUCUUCGAACCAGAUAUAUAUCAUUAUUCUUAAGCUUAUUUCAAUCAUAUCCAAACAAAAUUCGUAUGGAUUUAUCAAUAAAAGCUAAUAGGUCUCUUAUUUCACUAAUAAGCCAGAUUCUAAAUUUAUUUGAAAAUUAUAACACCUAGAUUUUUGUUUUAGACUAAACUAGCUAAAUGCUCUAACUAGUAUCACGUUAGUACUUAAUAAAAUAUAAAAAAUAAUCCCAAACAAAUAUACUAUGUGACAUAGAGAAUAAAUUAAUUACUGACCUAAAAUAUCAAAUAAAAUUAAUACCCUAUAUUUAUUUUAAUAUACUUAACCAAUCAAAAGUUUUUAGUUUCUUCUUUCUCAAGAGUGGCUAUCCAAGACCAAAAUGUCAUACAAUUUAAUAACUAUACAAUGAAACUUAUUACACCAUAUUUAUUCUUCUAUGGUUGACGCUACAAACAAUAUGAGACUUAUGAAACCAAAUAAAUUUUAACUUCACAGGUAGAAGACAAAGCAACUUCGUAAUCUUUUAAAUUAUCUUCAAACCUAAAUAUGCUCAGUUGCAGAGAAAAUGGUACAAAAUUCUCAUUAUUAGUUUCGAAACCGGGAUCAAGCAAACAUUUGCUUCUUUUUUAAUAGAAAUGUACAUAACAUUAAUUUAAGCAAAGAUAUGAGAAAUAAAAGAAAUCACACGAGAGGAGUGCAGGGAAGGCAUCAAUGAAAUCUUGAUAUGAACUAUCAAAUUUGAGAUGGAAAAACUAUAAUAAAAAUUACCAUAUCACUACAUACAAUUCAGACAUUCAGACCAUGGAAAAUUCACAACGAAUAUUACUAAAAUGAGAAUUCAGACUGACCCUGGAAGCAGAAUUUUUCUUUCAAUAAUAUAAGGAAUAUCUGCAAAUACAACUCCAACGUCGCAACAGAUUCAAUCGAACGAAGAAGCAACAAGAAACCGAAGAUCGCUAACCACAAAAGAAGCUUGCCCAAAACCGCAGACCCAACCGAGAACUCCGAUAUAUUCGUGAGUGCUUGCUAUUUUAUGAUACUUCCAAACGUUUUCUCAUUCGUUUUUCCUUUUCAAAAUCUG